Long non-coding RNA from Dama dama (fallow deer), 2154 nucleotides. RefSeq lists it as uncharacterized. The record is from RefSeq and is a predicted model, not a curated record. The transcript is spliced from 3 exons. NCBI's taxonomy places the organism in Eukaryota, Metazoa, Chordata, Mammalia, Artiodactyla, Cervidae.
UCGUGGCACCGCCCUUGAGCUAUCAGAAGGUUUCUGAGUUGACGGUUGCCCCCUCCCCCGGGCCUCCCACCCAGGUGUCUGUCAAGGUCGCUGUAAACCAAUCUCGUCCAUAUGGCUCUAGAAUAAAACGAAACGCUGUUAUACAGAUUAUCUGCGAAGGGUGAAGACGGAGUGAAAAGCAAGCAAGAGAGAAGAUGAAAAGAGACGUUUAGGGGUAGGGGGCUAAGAGUGUGAAACAAAAAGAUCUCUCGGCCUGUGGAGCCAGUGGACCAGGCACUGCGUUGACUGCCUAGCUUCAAAAUACCCUUGGAAGUAGUGGGCAAAGGCAAAGAGAAGGUGAAAAAACACUGCAUCCCUUGGCAGUGGUCCAGCUCUGUGUCCCUCGAAUUUAUAAUCUGACCUUGUGUGGGGGUUGCUAUUGUUUCUUCAUUCAUUCCCCUUGGUAUGUACUCAAUGGACAUGAAACUGAGCAAAGUGAAGGACAAGGAAAUCUGCAUUCUAUGGGCUCGCAAAAAGUUGGACAUGCCUUAGCGAGUGAAUAAUAAUCCCCCUGGGAUUUGACUCCUUGUUCCUGAAGUCUCCCAGAUGCGUGGCAGUUAGAAUGUACAGUCAACACUUGUUCUUUGGUCUACGCGGUGAAAAAGCGGAGAGCGGAGAGGUCAUUCAUUGUCUACAAGACUUUAAACUCUAAGAUAAAAAUGGUUGAAAAAUUUAGAAAAAAAUUCAAAGCAAAAAAAUCUUGAAGAGAAAAUCUAGAAGUCUGUUGACAGCUUAAUAAUUGACUGCAAAGAUUUGAGAUGAGUUUGUGUAGCUACUCCAAUACUGUGACCUUGGACAAGUAAAUGAACCUACCCUCCGUUUCUUCCUGUGAAGAAGAGUGCAAUUACUAAACUUUUUAGUGGGGAAGACCAGUAAUGCUCGCUAGUGAAUCCUAAGCACUUAGCCAGAUGCGCAGGUAUAAACUCAUUAAAUCAAUGAAUGGAUGAAUGAAGGCCUAAUAGGAGUAUAGAAAGGAUUGAAUGAGAAUGAUCAGAGUGAACCUGGCAAUUUAGCACACAAACAAGAAACUCCAACUGAAAAACUCAGUCUCUAAAAUGAAAGUAUUUUUAUGUAUUUAAAAGGAAAUGUUAAAAAUAUGAUAUGCUUUUUAUUCACCAUGCAAAACCUCUCUCUGUCUGGCUCAUGUACUCCUUCCCUUUUCAUCAUUAUGUUCUCAAUUCUUUUGCCUCGAAGGUAAUUGGGUUAAAUCAUCGCAACCAAGAAUAUCAUUCUAUCUUAAAACUUGUGAAGAGGAGACCACAGGCUAACUAAGGGCCUGGGAUAAAGAAGUUUCCCCAGGUUCACAGGCUGAUCUGAGGAUUAAGUAAAAUAAUACGGAGAAGAUUUAGUAAGAUAAUGUAUGUGAAGCUUACAGUGGCCUAACUCACAGGAAGAGCUAAAGAGCCUCUUGAGGUGAAAAAGUUGGCUUAAAGCUCAACAUUCAGAAAAGUAAGAGCAUGGCAUCCGGUCCCACCACUUCAUGCCCAAUAGAUGAGAAAACAAUGGAAACAGUGAGAGACUUUAUUUUCUUGGGCUCCAAAAUCUCACUGCAGAUGGUGAUUGCAGCUGUGAAAUUAAAAGAUGCUUGCUCCUUGGAAGACAAGCUAUGACCAACCUAGACAGCAUAUUAAAAAACAGACAUUACUUUGCUGACAGAAGUCUGUCUAGUCAAAACUAUGGUUUUUCUAGUAGUCAUGUAUGGAUGUGAGAGUUGGACUAUAAAGAAAGCUGAGUGCCGAAGAAUUGGUGCGUUUAACCUGUGGCAUUGGAGAAGACUCUUGAGAGUCCCUUGGACUGUAAGGAGAUCCAACCAGUCAGUCCUAAAGGAAAUCAGUCCUGAAUAGUCACUGGAAGGACUGAUCCUGAAGCUGAAACUCCAAUACUUUGGCCACCUGACGUGAAGAACUGACUCACUGGAAAAGAAUUCUGAUGCUGGGAAAGAUUGAAAGCAGGAGGAGAAGGGGAUGACAGGGAAUGAGAUGGUUGGAUGGCAUCACCUAUUCAAUGGACUUGAGUAUGAGUAAACUCUGGGGGUUGGUGAUGGACAGGGAAGCCUGGUGUGCUGCAGUCUAUGGGGUCUCAAAGAGUCCCGACUGAGCGACUGAACUGAACUGA